RNAcentral lists this non-coding RNA (186 nucleotides) under Prevotella sp. RNAcentral also lists the same sequence under 1 other name. Lineage: Bacteria; Pseudomonadati; Bacteroidota; Bacteroidia; Bacteroidales; Prevotellaceae. The record is from RNAcentral.
ACAUUUGCGGCAAGAAUGAGUGUGGGCGAAGAGUCGCCCUCGGAACACGGUGAGAAUCCGUGACAGUACCCGCUGCUGUAAUUCCCGCACAAGGGUUUCUUAUCAUUUCAGCCACUGACCGCAAGGUUGGGAAGGCGCUAAGAAACCGGGAUAAGUCAGAAGACCCACUUUUUUCUUAUACCAGAU